This 443-nucleotide ribosomal RNA is filed under the name uncultured bacterium. RNAcentral's name for it is "partial 16S ribosomal RNA". It matches the Rfam family "Bacterial small subunit ribosomal RNA", at positions 338 to 795 of the family's 1533-position model. The record is from RNAcentral.
CCUACGGGAGGCAGCAGUGGGGAAUAUUGGGCAAUGGGCGCAAGCCUGAACCAGCAAAGCCGCGUGAAGGACGAAGGCUCUAGGGUUGUAAACUUCUUUUCUUAGGGACGCAGAAAGUGACGGUAGCUGAGGAAUAAGCAACGGCUAACGACAUGCCAGCAGCAGCGGUAAUACGUAGUUCGCCAGCGUUAUCCGGAUUUAUUGGGUGUAAAGGGCGUGUAGGCGGGAGCGCAAGUCAGAUGUGAAAACUCAGGGACCAACCCUGGGCCUGCAUUUGAAACUGUGUGUCUUGAGAGCUGGAGAGGCAAGCGGAAUGCCGGGUGUAGCGGUGAAAUGCGUAGAUAUAGGGAGGAACACCAGUGGCGAAGGCAGAUUGCCGGAGAGUAACUGACGCUGAGGCGCGAAAGCGUGGGUAGCGAACAGGAUUAGAUACCCCAGUAGUC